Molecule: long non-coding RNA, 745 nt
Organism: Drosophila hydei
Lineage: Eukaryota; Metazoa; Arthropoda; Insecta; Diptera; Drosophilidae
Exons: 3
Source: RefSeq, a predicted model, not a curated record
UGCCGGCAGCUUUUGGAGAAGAUGUAUUCGACGUGUUUUAUGUGUAUAACAGUUUAACUUCAAGCUGUUGAAAAGGCAAUAAGAUACGAACGAUAAAAUAUACAUGCAUGCCAUAUGUAUUUACUUUCUUGAGUUGAAUACCUUUUUCUUUAAUUGGAUGCUCUCACGUGUCUGAAGCUUUUCGCAAAGAAAAUCCUUUUGGGAACAUGAGCUAACAGUGAGGGAGUGGGAGACUCUCAAUUUCAAUUCUUGUGGUUUGUUUUUGCAGGCGUUGCCAAAUUAAUUAUACACACACUCGAACUUUACGACUAUUUGAUUACUCUUAUCUGCACUAGCAGCCGCAGCAGCAGUAGCAGCAGCAGCUGGAACUGCAGCCGGUGUGCUGCCUACGACGCAGAAAAUUACAUGGCUGCACUUUUAUGACAAGUCCUUUUUUGUGCAUCCGUUGCUGCGCAAAAGGGCGCACUUCUUCGAGCACUGCUGUGGCCGCAGGAAUAAGCAUAGCAUUUGCCCAAAAUAUUAACCAAGCCACAAUGACACCGGCUGCCUUGCCAUGGCACUUAAGCUCUCGAUUAAUCUAAGUGGAUAGCGCUGUCUAAAAUUUAAAGUUACAAAGUAACACAGUAUAAGUGUUGUACAAUACUUGUAUAGUAUUUAUUAUUUAUAUGUAUGUAUAAUUUUUUUGUUGUACUUAACUACGAUACUGACCUUUAUUGUGAACAAACCUCUGAAUAAAUUUUCAAAA